UACGAGGGGGGCAAGCGUUGUUCGGAAUCACUGGGCGUAAAGGGUGCGUAGGCGGGUCUUUUAAGUCGGGGGUGAAAUCCUGGAGCUCAACUCCAGAACUGCCUUCGAUACUGGAAGACUUGAGUCCGGGAGAGGUGAGUGGAACUGCGAGUGUAGAGGUGAAAUUCGUAGAUAUUCGCAAGAACACCAGUGGCGAAGGCGGCUCACUGGCCCGGUACUGACGCUGAGGUGCGAAAGCGUGGGGGAGCAAACAGGG
RNAcentral lists this ribosomal RNA (256 nucleotides) under uncultured bacterium. Its description in RNAcentral is "partial 16S ribosomal RNA". It matches the Rfam family "Bacterial small subunit ribosomal RNA", at positions 524 to 777 of the family's 1533-position model. The record is from RNAcentral.